RNAcentral lists this ribosomal RNA (381 nucleotides) under Staphylococcus aureus. RNAcentral's name for it is "bacterial SSU rRNA". It matches the Rfam family "Bacterial small subunit ribosomal RNA", at positions 84 to 459 of the family's 1533-position model. Lineage: Bacteria; Bacillati; Bacillota; Bacilli; Caryophanales; Staphylococcaceae. The record is from RNAcentral.
CUCUGAUGUUAGCGGCGGACGGGUGAGUAACACGUGGAUAACCUACCUAUAAGACUGGGAUAACUUCGGGAAACCGGAGCUAAUACCGGAUAAUAUUUUGAACCGCAUGGUUCAAAAGUGAAAGACGGUCUUGCUGUCACUUAUAGAUGGAUCCGCGCUGCAUUAGCUAGUUGGUAAGGUAACGGCUUACCAAGGCAACGAUGCAUAGCCGACCUGAGAGGGUGAUCGGCCACACUGGAACUGAGACACGGUCCAGACUCCUACGGGAGGCAGCAGUAGGGAAUCUUCCGCAAUGGGCGAAAGCCUGACGGAGCAACGCCGCGUGAGUGAUGAAGGUCUUCGGAUCGUAAAACUCUGUUAUUAGGGAAGAACAUAUGUGUA